AUGUACAUACAGAUAAUCAAUCAUAUAAUCAAUCUGUGUGUGUAUCUCAGAAAAAUGCCCCUACAACUUAUUGAAGGGAUGUCCACCAGGAAGCGAAGACCUAACUGGACAGACCAGGAGUGUCUUCUCCUUGCUCAGUUAAUGCAGGAGAGGAAAGGCGUAAUCCGAGGGAAGUGCAGCACCGGAGUUUCAAUACAGGAUAAAAGACAAGCCUGGGAGGAAAUAACCCAAGCCAUCAAUGCUGCCUUUCCACAGAUUCAGCGUACAGUUUCCGACUGUAACAAAAAGUGGGAGAAUUUGCUGGCAAAGUCAAGGGAGGAGAUCAAACGACAAAAAAGGCAAGCGGGAACAGAAGGCCUGUCCCUUGAUCAGUUCAGUACUGUGACUCAAGUAGUGAUUUCUGUGAUGAACCUCUCAGACAUGCUGCAACAGGAUGGAGAAAACUCUUCAGUCUCAGAGUUGGUGGAAACUCACCAAAACAGCUGUGAUGAAGAUGGAGAUGACCACACAAUAGAUGAAAGAUUCUCAAACAAACAUCCACUGACUGAGCUUGAUCUCCCUACAUAUCCAGAUCCUUCUACUUCUUCAGCAGAACAGAAAGUGACUUUCACCAACGUCCCGAAAUCACUGGCAGUGCAGUUUAGUGCUCAUCGUGCUGCUGGCUUUACUGCGUCUACAGAACGACUAGAUACUCCCUGCUCUACUUCUCCGCCCUCAGUACACUGCCCAACUUUGCAAGAGCGAAUGGAUUUGGAAAUAUCUGUGCUGAGAAGACAAGAGGCCGUCCUCAAGCUGCAAGAGGAAUAUUACACACUAAAAAUUAAGCUAAUGAAAAAGCAAAUGGAAGAGCCCCUUUCAAAGGACUGAAGUAGCUGUAGAGAACGACUUGUUGAGCCUGUGAACUGUGACCAUUCAAGUCAACAGAAAUUCAAGUAGUAUAUGAUUUGUUAGGGCUAAAGCUGAAAUGUGUCAUAUUCUUCUUUGUGUAAAGAACUGAUGUAAAACACUGAAAAAUACACAUUUAAUUUGGUUGGAGACACAUUCCAUAUUCGGCUGUUUUGAUCAGGUUUGUGAGGUCACACGUGACAGUACCGCGGCCCAGCUCUAAUAGCGAUGUCACCUCUCAAUGUGAAGCAGGAUUCACCAAGUGUUGGAUUGUUCACCCACUAAAGGCCUGAAUAUACUUGAUAGUAGUUAUGUUUGUACUACUUUCUGAAGUCUGAUGGCGAUAGUUUUGUGACACGGACCCCAGUGGACUGUAGCAUACUAAAGUAUAAUACCUGCUUAACAGGGAUCAUGAGCUAGGUUUAGGCUGCCUUGAGACUGACUACUUUUACCACAAGUCUGUUUUUCUCCUUAUUUCAGUAAAACAUAUUUAUGUUAUGUUUAACUUUUCUGUUGGUGUUUUCUUCUCAAACUGGAAUGGUCAAUUGACUUUUUUCACAGUACACAUUUUGACUUAUAACAGGAACAGCAGAGCUUAUCAGUAUCAUGAGCAUGGAACUGGGAAACCUAAAUGGAAUGCAGCCAUAAUUAGUAUUAUGGGUUAUACCUGUGCUUUUCCUGCUAUGACCUCAAAAUAUCUGAAGUAUUCCCUGUGUACUGCUGGCCUGGGGAGACUGUGGAGAGCCAUGUAUUAUACAUAUGAAGCAACCGAUUACUUCUUCACAAUUCACCAGGAGUGUGUAAUGCAUGCAGUAGUUGGCUCCCCUAGGUCUCACUUCCAUUCAUGCAGGUGCUGUAACCAACCAGUAGCAGUCAUUGGUGUGAUAAAAAUGAUCCCCCACUUGCUUCCAACGUGCAAACAAGACCGAGCUCAAGGUCCUAUUGCUUGGAAAUGAACUUGGCUUCACAAGUCUGUGUAGUUUGAACAUGCAGGAAGACCAAAUUGCAGAUUUGAAUAUAGCCUUUAGCCUGUUUUUUAUUCUCAGCGUGCAUAUAUCUGUGUCCAUGGUUAUGGCCCCAAGAGCCAUUUUGUCUGCACCAGACAACCAUAAUGCUAAGACCACACUACAUUUUAAAACAUUACUAUUAUGUAUUAUGGCAUCAGAACAAACCAAAACCCCAAAACCUGAUGAAAUUAGUACGCUUUAUUUAUGAUUUAUGCCAGACAUUUUUUUUCUGGUGUUCUACUUGAUUAUACUCAUUACAGAUGUCUUUUUGAAUUCUUUGUAUUGUACUGUAAUUGAUACAUUAGUGAGCUACUCAGAAUUUGCUCUUUCACACUUGGUCCCAUUGUAAUGAGGGAUUAAGUUGCUUUUAAAGUUUUUUACAAAAGCAAUCCAGCAAGGUUUGUCUGUGUUUUCUGUUUAUGUGCAUCAAUGCAUAUUUUGUAGAAUAAGAUCUAUCAUGACAUCAAGUUCUGCUUUUGUGGUGUAUGAUGAAAAUGAAGGAAUUCAUGAUGUUUGGUGCCUUGCAUUGCCUCAUUACCACUUGAAGUCUCAGUCAGUGCAAUAUAGUAAAAUUAUUGUUGUGGACUGAAAGUGUUACAGAUAUUGAUACACAAUAAUGAGAAUAUUGCUUAUGCUUAUUAGUAGGCUACAAAGAGAAAACAUUACUCACUAACAAAACCUCAAAUAAUGUUGAAAUAUUUUCCCAGGUGAAUGUAAUGUGCCAUAUAACUGUGGAAUUACAACUAUUACAUUCUCAAAUUCUUGAAAAUGUAUUCUCAGUAGGAAGCAUAAUUUAGUUUAUCUGAAGUCUCACUCAAAUGUAUAAUUUUACACUGUGAGAAAUUUAGUUUAUUUGCUGAUUCAUGCCAUUUACUCCUAAGUGCAAAUUUGGAAGCUGUAAAUGUUUGACAUAUACCAAUAGACAUAUUUAUGAAAAUUCUGCUUGGUCAUGCCAAUGUAAGUAAAGCUACAAUAAUGUCCUGUCUAGACAAAUGUAGUAAUUUGUGCGUAAUAUUUCUCAUAAAUCCGUUUAUUUGUAAGUGACCGAGGUUGGCACCCAGAUGUAAGCAGUGGGGCCCAGAGUGUUGAAUAAAAGUCUGUUAUUUGCUGUG
Molecule: long non-coding RNA, 3004 nt
Filed under: Dicentrarchus labrax (European seabass)
Lineage: Eukaryota; Metazoa; Chordata; Actinopteri; Moronidae
Description: lncRNA (ENSDLAG00005031833.1)
Source: RNAcentral